CGGUGCAAAUGGAAGGUCAAGGAAGACAUGGUCACUUUUUGUUGUUCUGUGACACCUUUAAUCAUGAACAGAACGAGGUAAAAUGUCUUUUGAAAUGUUUUGGAAAGUCUGUUGCUUUGAUUCAGUGGGUUAGAAGUUGAUAUUUUAAGUCAAAUGCGUGUUUAAAUUGCAGGAAAUGCAUUUGGAUCUCGUCAGUUUUCCUCGUCCAGUGUGUAUCAGUGAAGUUCGUGUGAUUCCCCGAGGAGGGAGGCCUCAUCUAGCUAUUGAUAGACUGGGGUAAGGUGGUCUCAUGUUUUGGAUAGAUGUAGAAGAUAUAUGGUAUUUCAUAUAGCAUUAGGCCAAUGGGCUAUUCCAUUUAAUAUCCGUACCCCCCCUGUCGAGGAUCCCUGGAAUUCUUCAGGGGUAAAGGGUUUUGAGCUUGGAAUUCUUCAGGGGUAAAGUGUUUUGAGCUUGGAAUUCUUCA
Paramuricea clavata is the source of this 463-nucleotide non-coding RNA. NCBI's taxonomy places the organism in Eukaryota, Metazoa, Cnidaria, Anthozoa, Malacalcyonacea, Plexauridae. The record is from the annotation of a GenBank genome assembly.